GAUGAACGCUGGCGGCGUGCCUAAUACAUGCAAGUCGAGCGAACAGACGAGGAGCUUGCUCCUCUGACGUUAGCGGCGGACGGGUGAGUAACACGUGGAUAACCUACCUAUAAGACUGGGAUAACUUCGGGAAACCGGAGCUAAUACCGGAUAAUAUAUUGAACCGCAUGGUUCAAUAGUGAAAGACGGUUUUGCUGUCACUUAUAGAUGGAUCCGCGCCGCAUUAGCUAGUUGGUAAGGUAACGGCUUACCAAGGCAACGAUGCGUAGCCGACCUGAGAGGGUGAUAGGCCACACGGGAACUGAGACACGGUCCAGACUCCUACGGGAGGCAGCAGUAGGGAAUCGUCCGCAAUGGGCGAAAGCCUGACGGAGCAACGCCGCGUGAGUGAUGAAGGUCUUCGGAUCGUAAAACUCUGUUAUUAGGGAAGAACAAAUGUGUAAGUAACUAUGCACGUCUUGACGGUACCUAAUCAGAAAGCCACGGCUAACUACGUG
Molecule: ribosomal RNA, 497 nt
Filed under: uncultured bacterium
Lineage: Bacteria
Description: partial 16S ribosomal RNA
Rfam family: Bacterial small subunit ribosomal RNA
Source: RNAcentral